CGUAACUAUAACGGUCCUAAGGUAGCGAAAUUCCUUGUCGGGUAAGUUCCGACCCGCACGAAAGGCGUAACGAUUUGGGCACUGUCUCAACGAGAGACUCGGUGAAAUCAUAGUACCUGUGAAGAUGCAGGUUACCCGCGACAGGACGGAAAGACCCCGUGGAGCUUUACUGUAGCCUGAUAUUGAAAUUCGGCACAGCUUGUACAGGAUAGGUAGGAGCCUUUGAAACGUGAGCGCUAGCUUACGUGGAGGCGUUGGUGGGAUACUACCCUAGCUGUGUUGGCUUUCUAACCCGCACCACUUAUCGUGGUGGGAGACAGUGUCAGGCGGGCAGUUUGACUGGGGCGGUCGCCUCCUAAAAGGUAACGGAGGCGCUCAAAGGUUCCCUCAGAAUGGUUGGAAAUCAUUCAUAGAGUGUAAAGGCAUAAGGGAGCUUGACUGCGAGACCUACAAGUCGAGCAGGGUCGAAAGACGGACUUAGUGAUCCGGUGGUUCCGCAUGGAAGGGCCAUCGCUCAACGGAUAAAAGCUACCCCGGGGAUAACAGGCUUAUCUCCCCCAAGAGUUCACAUCGACGGGGAGGUUUGGCACCUCGAUGUCGGCUCAUCGCAUCCUGGGGCUGUAGUCGGUCCCAAGGGUUGGGCUGUUCGCCCAUUAAAGCGGUACGCGAGCUGGGUUCAGAACGUCGUGAGACAGUUCGGUCCCUAUCCGUCGUGGGCGUAGGAAAUUUGAGAGGAGCUGUCCUUAGUACGAGAGGACCGGGAUGGACAUACCUCUGGUGUACCAGUUGUCGUGCCAACGGCAUAGCUGGGUAGCUAUGUAUGGACGGGAUAAGUGCUGAAAGCAUCUAAGCAUGAAGCCCCCCUCAAGAUGAGAUUUCCCAACUUCGGUUAUAAGAUCCCUCGAAGAUGACGAGGUUAAUAGGUUCGAGGUGGAAGCGUGGUGACACGUGGAGCUGACGAAUACUAAUCGAUCGAAGACUUAAUCAA
Molecule: ribosomal RNA, 988 nt
Filed under: human gut metagenome
Description: bacterial LSU rRNA
Rfam family: Bacterial large subunit ribosomal RNA
Source: RNAcentral